Long non-coding RNA from Oncorhynchus nerka (sockeye salmon), 1186 nucleotides. RefSeq lists it as uncharacterized. The record is from RefSeq and is a predicted model, not a curated record. The transcript has 4 exons. Lineage: Eukaryota; Metazoa; Chordata; Actinopteri; Salmoniformes; Salmonidae.
UUAACUCUAUUUAAAGAGAACCCACCGACUGGGUAUAACUCAUUGUCUUUGCAUCGUCACACCUGAUCAACUGCUGAAAUUGACUGACUCGAAGAACUGACCACCAAGAUGAUGAUGAAGACUGUAAUCUUUCUGGGCUGCCUCCUGGGCCUGUCAUUGGCUCUUCCUGCUGAUGUGGAUCACUUGAGAGUUGCACGUUCCAGCUCUGACUCCAACUCUAACUCAAACUCCAGGGAGGCUGGUUCCUUUCUGCCCUCCCUGCCACAGUUGAAUUCAAAUCAGCUACUUCAACUUCUACUUAAACUGUUUGCUGCCUCUGUCCCAGCACCAGCCCCAGCCCCUAUCCCAGCCCCUGUCCCAGCCCCUGCCCCAGCACCUGCCCCAGCCCCUGCCCCUGCCCCAGCCCCAGCCCCUACCCCAGCCCCUGCCCCAGCCCCUGCCCCUGCACCAGCCCCUGCCCCAGGUGGACGUUAAACAGGUGAAAAGUACUACUUAAACAGUUUUUGGGGGUAUCUGUACUUUACUUUACUAUAUAUAUAUUUCUGACAACUUUUACUUUUGCUUCACAAAAUUUCUGAAGAAAAUAAUGUACAUUUUACCCCAUACAUUGUCCUUGACAUCCAAAAAUUACCUUUUGAAUGCUUAGCAGGACAGGAAAAUUGACAAAUUCAAACGCUUAUCAAGAGAACAUCCCUGCUCAUCCCUACUGUCUCUGAUCUGGUGGACUCACACAAAUGCUUAGUUUAAAAAGAUGUCUGAGUGUUGGAGUGUACCCCUGGCUAUCCGUAAAUAAAGUAAACAAGAAAAUGGUGGCGUCUGGUUUGUUUAAUAUAAGGUUUUUGUAAUGAUUUAUACUUUUACUGUUGAGUAUAUUUGAGCAAUUACAUAUACUUUUGAUACUUAAGUAUAUUUAAAACCAAAUACUUUUAGACUUUUACUCAAGUUGUAUUUAAGUGGGUAACUUUAUUUUCUAUUAAGGUAUCUUUACUUUCACUCAAGUACGACAAUUGGGCACUUUUCCCAACACUGGAUUCCCCAAACAUCAUAAGUACAAUGUAUAUCCCUUAAAUUCAUUAAUUCACUUUUCUGUCUAUCAGGUAUUUCAUGGAACUCCCAGACAUUGUCUAUGAAGUGUGAUUCCUUUAUGCAUUUCUGUUUAAUAAACACAUUCAUAUUUUAAGCUCAA